This 72-nucleotide transfer RNA is filed under the name Phycisphaerae bacterium. RNAcentral's name for it is "tRNA-Gly". It matches the Rfam family "tRNA". Rfam says of the family: Transfer RNA (tRNA) molecules are approximately 80 nucleotides in length. Their secondary structure includes four short double-helical elements and three loops (D, anti-codon, and T loops). Further hydrogen bonds mediate the characteristic L-shaped molecular structure. tRNAs have two regions of fundamental functional importance: the anti-codon, which is responsible for specific mRNA codon recognition, and the 3' end, to which the tRNAs corresponding amino acid is attached (by aminoacyl-tRNA synthetases). tRNAs cope with the degeneracy of the genetic code in two manners: having more than one tRNA (with a specific anti-codon) for a particular amino acid; and 'wobble' base-pairing, i.e. permitting non-standard base-pairing at the 3rd anti-codon position. The record is from RNAcentral. RNAcentral also lists the same sequence under 4 other names. Lineage: Bacteria; Pseudomonadati; Planctomycetota; Phycisphaerae.
GCGGCUGUAGCUCAAUGGUAGAGUGCUACCUUCCCAAGGUAGAUGUUGUGGGUUCGAAUCCCAUCAGCCGCU